RNAcentral lists this ribosomal RNA (253 nucleotides) under uncultured Thermomonas sp. RNAcentral describes it as "partial 16S ribosomal RNA". It matches the Rfam family "Bacterial small subunit ribosomal RNA", at positions 524 to 776 of the family's 1533-position model. The record is from RNAcentral. Lineage: Bacteria; Pseudomonadati; Pseudomonadota; Gammaproteobacteria; Lysobacterales; Lysobacteraceae.
UACGUAGGGUGCAAGCGUUACUAGGAAUUACUGGGCGUAAAGCGUGCGUAGGUGGCUUGUUAAGUCUGAUGUGAAAGCCCUGGGCUCAACCUGGGAAUGGCACUGGAUACUGGCAAGCUAGAGUGUGGCAGAGGGUAGUGGAAUUCCUGGUGUAGCAGUGAAAUGCGUAGAGAUCAGGAGGAACAUCCGUGGCGAAGGCGACUGCCUGGGCCAACACUGACACUGAGGCACGAAAGCGUGGGGAGCAAACAGG